Molecule: ribosomal RNA, 694 nt
Filed under: uncultured Arcobacter sp.
Lineage: Bacteria; Pseudomonadati; Campylobacterota; Epsilonproteobacteria; Campylobacterales; Arcobacteraceae
Description: bacterial SSU rRNA
Rfam family: Bacterial small subunit ribosomal RNA
Source: RNAcentral
UGCAGUCGACGAGAACGGAUAUUAGCUUGCUAAUAUUGUCAGCUAAGUGGCGCACGGGUGAGUAAUAUAUAGUUAAUCUGCCCCAAAGAAGAGAAUAAUUGUUGGAAACGACUUGUAACGCUCUAUAUGCCUUUAUUACAUAAGUAAGCAAGGGAAACAUUUAUGGCUUUGGGAUGAGACUGUACGGUAUCAACUAGUUGGUGAGGUAAUGGCUCACCAAGGCAAUGACAUCUAACUGGUUUGAGAGGAUGAUCAGUCACACUGGAACUGAGACACGGUCCAGACUCCUACGGGAGGCAGCAGUGGGGAAUAUUGCACAAUGGAGGAAACUCUGAUGCAGCAACGCCGCGUGGAGGAUGACACAUUUCGGUGCGUAAACUCCUUUUAUAUGAGAAGAUAAUGACGGUAUCAUAUGAAUAAGCACCGGCUAACUCCGUGCCAGCAGCCGCGGUAAUACGGGGGGUGCAAGCGUUACUCGGGAUCACUGGGCGUAAAGAGCAUGUAGGCUGGUUUGUAAGUUGGAAGUGAAAUCCUAUGGCUUAACCAUAGAACUGCUUCCAAAACUGCAGACCUAGAAUAUGGGAGAGGUAGAUGGAAUUUCUGGUGUAGGGGUAAAAUCCGUAGAGAUCAGAGGGAAUACCGAUUGCGAACGCGAUCUACUGGAACAUUAUUGACGCUGAGAUGCGAAAGCGUG